GCCAGGUGUGGCGGUGCAUGCCUGUAGUCCCAGCUACUUGGGAGGCUGAGGCAGGAGAAUCGCUUGAGCCUGGGAGGUGGAUGUUACAGUGAGCCAAGAUUGUGUCACUGUACUCCAGCCUGGGCAACAGAGUGAGACCCUGUCUCGG
This 148-nucleotide non-coding RNA is filed under the name Gorilla gorilla gorilla (western lowland gorilla). Lineage: Eukaryota; Metazoa; Chordata; Mammalia; Primates; Hominidae. The record is from Rfam by way of RNAcentral.